UCCAAAGUAGAAAAGCAAUAGAAAUAGUUAAACAAAAGAUAUGAAUACUUGAAAAAAUAUUACAACUAAAAUUGUACAUUACAAAUUUAACUAGAAGUAGCAAAAUGAAUCUCAUAGUGAUGUGAUAAACCUGUAAAAAAAUAUAAACAAUAUAAAUAAAUAAAUCAAAUAAUUAAAAUAUUUAGUAUAUAAUAAAAAUAUCAAAUAGUUAAACUUACAUUAUAGGAUGCACUUUAAGGAACAGGUUGAUCAUCCUGUUCUGGAUCAUACUCAUGAUCGAAUUGUGUUGUGCUAUUGGAAGUAGUUUU
This 308-nucleotide long non-coding RNA is filed under the name Phaseolus vulgaris (common bean). RNAcentral describes it as "long non-coding RNA (PVUL_LNC003642)". Lineage: Eukaryota; Viridiplantae; Streptophyta; Magnoliopsida; Fabales; Fabaceae. The record is from RNAcentral.